GAUGAACGCUAGCUACAGGCUUAACACAUGCAAGUCGAGGGGUUUGCUUCGGCAAACGACCGGCGCACGGGUGAGUAACGCGUAUCCAACCUGCCAUUCAUAUUGGGAUAGCCCUCCGAAAGGAGGAUUAAUACCGAAUAACAUAUUGUUGUUGCAUGAUAUCAAUAUGAAAGCUGAGGCGAUGAAUGAUGGGGAUGCGUUCCAUUAGGUAGUAGGCGGGGUAACGGUCCCACCUAGCCAACGAUGGAUAGGGGUUCUGAGAGGAAGGUCCCCCACACUGGAACUGAGACACGGUCCAGACUCCUACGGGAGGCAGCAGUGAGGAAUAUUGGACAAAUGGAUGGAAAUCUGAUCCAGCCAUGCCGCGUGCAGGAUGACGGCCCUAUGGGUCUUAAACUGCUUUUGUAUGGGAGCAAUAAGUUCUACGUGUAGAGUGAUGAGAGUACCAUACGAAUAAGCAUCGGCUAACUCCGU
This 474-nucleotide ribosomal RNA is filed under the name uncultured bacterium. RNAcentral describes it as "bacterial SSU rRNA". It matches the Rfam family "Bacterial small subunit ribosomal RNA", at positions 28 to 506 of the family's 1533-position model. The record is from RNAcentral.